UGUGUGUGUGUGUGUGUGUAUAUAUGUGUAUAUAUAUAUAUUCCUGCCUUUCAACUGUUAGCCUUCUCUCAGCGAACGUGUGAAGGUGAAGCGCUGUUGUGGUUCGGUCACUUGACAGUCACUUGACAGUAGCAGCAAAUGACAGCUGUCCGGACUCGAAACAAUGCCCAUGGUCAUAUAAAGUCAUUUUUAAUUUCAUGUUAUCACAUUGCUUUGUAUUACAUAGUCAUUCAAAUGUGUAAAUGACCCCAAUAGAGACAAACAGUAUGUUUAAAUAGAUUGUAUGCAGUAUCAAUAACGUGGAACAUUUCUAUGCUCAUGACUUCUGGCAUUUUCAUUAAUGCAUUUGCUUCACAUGACUUGAUGAGAAUUCCCCGAGUGAUGGCUGCCACAUCUGUCCUAUUACAGGGGUUAAUAUAAUUCCUGGAGUGAUAAGACAACAUGAGUACAUCUGCAUGGAUUCUGCCAGGAGGUGAACAGUGUCUACUUACCAUGACUACACAAACAGUCCAGCUGGGACCAGUCAUAUGAGGAUGGCAAAUGGAAUAUGUAAAGUUGGGGCAGAGUAAUACCUAGCAUAAAUUUCACACUAUGCUGUGAGGAUAUGUGUAAUAUACAGUAGAGUAAUAAAACAGUGUCAUGGUUGAUUUUCACUAUACGUAGACACACGUGAUUAAUUUAUUUCUUGCAUGCACACUAAUGGUUACAGACUUCAAUGUAUACAUAUUUAUAUAACAAAUAGAAAGGUAUUGUCUGAGUUAAUAAACAGCUUUGAGUAAUGGAGAACAUAAUUUUGCCUAAAUGAACAGAUUAGAGAUUUAUGAAGUGGUUUCCAGUACCAUCUGUGUGGGGAGGGGUUUAGUGUAUUUCUUCCUGGUACUCGGUGAAUAAAAGUGUAUGCUGGUAUCCCAGUAUUUCAAUAGCAGAGCUCUGAUGAAUAUUAUAUGAGACUUUUAUAUGUGUCAACAUACCACAUUUCUCAUGCACAUCGCUCUCAUUGAUGAUGUGACACUAAUUCCAGCUUUCCUACAUACCCUCACUCUCUUCUGCGAUCUAUCGUCUGAUGAUAAUUUGUUUCCUACUAAGAGAAAGGGUUUACAGGUCACAAGUAAUGGAGAGGAAAACCUUAAAGGAAGAUCUAAGAAGAAACAGUGAUGGUUAAUGAUGAUGUCCAUUUAAUGAAUGUAAAGCAUCAUUGACUGACUAAAUGAGACAUUUUAACUGUAAAUCCAAAGAUCCUCUGUGCAUGACACCCUCUGGCCUAUUCUGAUUUACAAUACAGGUAAGUCAACUGCAUUGUCAUCUCAUCUAUAUACACAUAUAAUGCAGGGAAAUAUUGUGCCUCCAGCACUACAGUGCAAAGCAGACAGCAUAAAAGUAGCUUAUAUGAGGUGACUGCAAAUGACAUGUAAUUGUAAACUUUCACAAGAAGCAGCUUAUGAAAUAACUUUGGAGCUGAAUUCUUUAUAUUAUAAAUAUCUUAAUAUACACUAUUUUAUGCUUUCUUUUUACUUGUGGCAAUGAAUGUGCAUCUGUGAAACUCUCUCUUUCGCUCUCUCUCUUUAUUACAGAGCUUGUAAGAUGGGUGAGAUGGGUCAUCCAUGGAUGAUAGUCUUUGCAGAUGUAGCUUUUGUGGUAAAUGUCAUGAAUACAAGGAAGGGAGACCCUGAUGGUGUUCUUAGUCAUUUUCACUGUCUGCUGCUGUGCUUUGUACUCUGAUGUAGGGAAUUCACCUAAGAGAUUUUGAUACAGCAGGUCAAGAUGCUCUCUAUAGUAGAUUUGUGGAACGUGGUGAUGUGGGUGGUUAGAAUGUGAACUCUUUGUAGUUGCAUUGUUGUGCUUUCUUGGACCCAAGUGAAACAUUUCAUGGAAACUUCAGAAAUGUCAUGCUCUUGACUGUUUGUAGAGCUUUCUAGAGCUCUUGAUGUGCAAUGUGAAUUGGCCAACAUGAGUCUUCCUGAACUCAUCAAUCAGUUGUGUUCGUACUUGUCCACAAGCUGCUCCCCACUUCUCGCUACAUGCUAAUGUGGCAUUGUUGCUGAUGCUGUGUCAUCAGAUAACUUGCUGUCAUUUGAAUGACACUUGACAGUAUGUGUCAGCAGUGUGAACAGCAGUGGACUAAGCACACAGCCCUGGGAGACACCAUGGUGAUGGUGGAAGGGUUACUGAUCUAGACUGACUGAGGUCUCUGUGGUCAGUCAGCUGAGGACAGGCAGAAUAUAAUAUUAUUCAGCAGAGUGAUGGUCUUCCCUUCAGGCUUGUUAUUCUGUAUUUCUUACAUCACAUCAAAGUACUGCAGCACAUCUGGGAGUAAGGCAUCGCUGUCACAGACACGCCAUUCUAUUUUGUAAUUAGUGAUGGCCUAAGUGCCUUGCUACAUGUCUCUAGUGGCUAGGAAGUGAACAUAAAUUGUUAAUGCAUAAGAUCAUUGGUUGGCUCUUACUGUCCUGAGGCUGAUCUGAUGGCAGAAUGACAGUUUUUCAGCAGCAAGUGAGUCUCAUGGCUUCUCCUUAAACAUACAGUGAGGUCUAAAAAUAUUUGGACAUUGAUAGUUAUUGUUAUUUUUGAUGUCCAUUUACAUCUAAUUAUAUUAUAUAUGUGGUCAACCCCCUCCUUUUUUAAGGACCAAAUUUAAUUGGACAAACUAAGCUGAUAAUACAUUCAAUACUCAUUUUCUACAGUGCUGCUUGAAAGUUUGUGAAUUUUCAAAAUUUCUGCAUAAAUACUGUAUGGUUUAAAUGAGAAGUGUUAUGCUUGGAGAAAAGAAAACACUGCAUUCCAGUAUAAGAACCUUAUCUCGUCUGUGAAACGUGGUGGUGCUAGUAUCAUGGUUUGGACCUGUUUUGCUGUAUCUAGUACAGGACGGCUUUCCG
Ictalurus punctatus (channel catfish) is the source of this 2873-nucleotide long non-coding RNA. NCBI's taxonomy places the organism in Eukaryota, Metazoa, Chordata, Actinopteri, Siluriformes, Ictaluridae. The record is from Ensembl.